RNAcentral lists this ribosomal RNA (459 nucleotides) under uncultured bacterium. Its description in RNAcentral is "partial 16S ribosomal RNA". It matches the Rfam family "Bacterial small subunit ribosomal RNA", at positions 338 to 795 of the family's 1533-position model. The record is from RNAcentral.
CCUACGGGAGGCAGCAGUGAGGAAUAUUGGUCAAUGGCCGUAAGGCUGAACCAGCCAAGUCGCGUGAAGGAAGAAGGAUCUAUGGUUUGUAAACUUCUUUUAUAGGGGAAUAACGGUAUCCACGUGUGGAUAUUUGCAUGUACCCUAUGAAUAAGCAUCGGCUAACUCCGUGCCAGCAGCCGCGGUAAUACGGAGGAUGCGAGCGUUAUCCGGAUUUAUUGGGUUUAAGGGGUGCGUAGGUUGUUUUUUAAGUCAGCGGUAAAAAUGCGGUGCUCAACGCCGUAUCGCCGUUGAAACUGCAGGUCUUGAGUGAGCGAGAAGUAUGCGGAAUGCGUGGUGUAGCGGUGAAAUGCAUAGAUAUCACGCAGAACUCCGAUUGCGAAGGCAGCAUACCGGCGCUCAACUGACGCUGAGGCACGAAAGCGUGGGGAUCGAACAGGAUUAGAUACCCUUGUAGUC